UAAAUAGAUAGAGGUUGCAACCGACAAAAUUAACUAAUGGAGUUUGCCAAACGGUGAAGUUAGUGAAAGGGAAGGUUGCCGAGGUGUUUUGGUUUGGGCAAAAUCAAAUGCCGGGCUAGCAAUUAAGAGUUGUUAGACUGUCACUGCUCAUACAAGUAGUGGGGAGCUGUCGUUCGU
Molecule: regulatory RNA element, 177 nt
Organism: Weissella viridescens
Lineage: Bacteria; Bacillati; Bacillota; Bacilli; Lactobacillales; Lactobacillaceae
Rfam family: Lysine riboswitch aptamer
About the family: Riboswitches are metabolite binding domains within certain messenger RNAs that serve as precision sensors for their corresponding targets. Allosteric rearrangement of mRNA structure is mediated by ligand binding, and this results in modulation of gene expression.
Source: Rfam